RNAcentral lists this ribosomal RNA (481 nucleotides) under uncultured bacterium. Its description in RNAcentral is "partial 16S ribosomal RNA". It matches the Rfam family "Bacterial small subunit ribosomal RNA", at positions 28 to 507 of the family's 1533-position model. The record is from RNAcentral.
GAUGAACGCUGGCGGCGUGCUUAACACAUGCAAGUCGAACGAAGCAUUUGCGACAGAUUUUUUCGGAAUGAAGUUGCUUAUGACUGAGUGGCGGACGGGUGAGUAACGCGUGGGUAACCUGCCUUGUACUGGGGGAUAGCAGCUGGAAACGGCUGGUAAUACCGCAUAAGCGCACAAUGUUGCAUGACAUGGUGUGAAGAACUCCGGUGGUAUAAGAUGGACCCGCGUCUGAUUAGCUAGUUGGUGAGAUAACAGCCCACCAAGGCGACGAUCAGUAGCCGACCUGAGAGGGUGACCGGCCACAUUGGGACUGAGACACGGCCCAGACUCCUACGGGAGGCAGCAGUGGGGAAUAUUGCACAAUGGAGGAAACUCUGAUGCAGCGACGCCGCGUGAGUGAAGAAGUAAUUCGUUAUGUAAAGCUCUAUCAGCAGGGAAGAUAGUGACGGUACCUGACUAAGAAGCUCCGGCUAAAUACGUG